This 257-nucleotide ribosomal RNA is filed under the name uncultured bacterium. RNAcentral's name for it is "partial 16S ribosomal RNA". It matches the Rfam family "Bacterial small subunit ribosomal RNA", at positions 524 to 776 of the family's 1533-position model. The record is from RNAcentral.
UACAGAGACCUCAAGCGUUAUCCGGAAUCAUUGGGCGUAAAGCGUACCGAUAGGUGGUCUCAAAAGUCAGACGUGAAAUCUCAAGGCUCAACUUUGAGACUGUCUUUUGAAACUUUUAGACUAGAGGGGCAAAGAGGAAGCUGGAACGAACGGUGUAGUAGUGAAAUGCGUUGAUAUCGUUCGGAACACCAAUAGCGAAGGCGGGCUUCUGGGUGCCACCUGACACUGCUAGGACGAAAGCGUGGGGAGCGAAUGGG